This 253-nucleotide ribosomal RNA is filed under the name uncultured bacterium. RNAcentral describes it as "partial 16S ribosomal RNA". It matches the Rfam family "Bacterial small subunit ribosomal RNA", at positions 524 to 776 of the family's 1533-position model. The record is from RNAcentral.
UACGUAGGGGGCGAGCGUUGUCCGGAGUUACUGGGCGUAAAGCGCACGCAGGCGGUUUCGUACGUCUGGAGUGACAGUUCCCGGCUCAACUGGGAAAGGUCUUCGGAAACGGCGAGACUUGAGGGCUUCAGAGGGACACGGAAUUCCGGGUGGAGUGGUGAAAUGCGUAGAGAUCCGGAGGAGCACCAAUGGCGAAGGCAGUGUCCUGGGAAGCAUCUGACGCUCAGGUGCGAAAGCUAGGGGAGCGAACAGG